Molecule: ribosomal RNA, 489 nt
Filed under: Macrophomina phaseolina
Lineage: Eukaryota; Fungi; Ascomycota; Dothideomycetes; Botryosphaeriales; Botryosphaeriaceae
Description: eukaryotic LSU rRNA
Rfam family: 5.8S ribosomal RNA (bases 157-310)
Source: RNAcentral
GGCUCGUCCGAUCCUCCCACCCUAAUGUAUACUACCUCUGUUGCUUUGGCGGGAGGGAUCUCCAGCCCCCGAUUAGGUGGGCAGGCAAACCGCCAGAGGACUAUCAAACUCCAGUCAGUAAACGUUGCAGUCUGAAAAAAAUAUUAAAUAAACUAAAACUUUCAACAACGGAUCUCUUGGUUCUGGCAUCGAUGAAGAACGCAGCGAAAUGCGAUAAGUAAUGUGAAUUGCAGAAUUCAGUGAAUCAUCGAAUCUUUGAACGCACAUUGCGCCCCUUGGUAUUCCGGGGGGCAUGCCUGUUCGAGCGUCAUUUCAACCCUCAAGCUCUGCUUGGUAUUGGGCACCGUCCUUUGCGGGCGCGCCUCAAAGACCUCGGCGGUGGCGUCUUGCCUCAAGCGUAGUAGAAUACACCUCGCUUCGGAGCGUAAGGCGUCGCCCGCCGGACGAACCUUCUGAACUUUUCUCAAGGUUGACCUCGGAUCAGGUAGG